Molecule: ribosomal RNA, 392 nt
Filed under: uncultured bacterium
Lineage: Bacteria
Description: bacterial SSU rRNA
Rfam family: Bacterial small subunit ribosomal RNA
Source: RNAcentral
AGUGAACGCUGGCGGCGUGCUUAACACAUGCAAGUCGAACGCGAAAGUGUAGCAAUACAUGAGUAGAGUGGCGAACGGGUGAGUAAGAUGUGGGUAAUCUAGCUUUCAGAGGGGGAUAACCCGGGGAAACCUGGGCUAAAACCGCGUAACAUAUUGGGGUUUAAGGACCCUAAUAUCAAAACAUGGCCUCUAUUUAUAAGCUAUGGCUGAGAGAUGAGCCCACAUCCUANCACGCUUGUUGGUGGGUAACGGCCCACCAAGGCGACGACGGGUAGCCGGCCUGAGAGGGUGUCCGGCCACACUGGAACUGAGACACGGUCCAGACUCCUACGGAGGCAGCAGUGGGGAAUUUUUCGCAAUGGCGCAAGCCUGACGAAGCAACGCCGCGUAGA